UUUUUUGUUGAACAGGGGGUAGGGUUGGGGAGGUUGUAAAAUGAAUACAAAUAUUUCAACAGAGGUUGUGAAGAAGAAAGUGGUCAAUCUUUCAGAUUUAAGCAGGUCAAAGAGGGAGAAGAACGGCUGGAGAUGGGUGUCGAUCGGAGAAGGUUGACCGGCUGAGAUGGGUGUCGAUUGGAGAAGGUUGAACGGCUGGAGAUGGGUGUCG
Molecule: long non-coding RNA, 211 nt
Filed under: Helianthus annuus (common sunflower)
Lineage: Eukaryota; Viridiplantae; Streptophyta; Magnoliopsida; Asterales; Asteraceae
Description: hypothetical non coding rna
Source: RNAcentral